GCGGAAGUGCUGGAAUCGGCAGACAGGCACGUUUGAGGGGCGUGUGUCUUAAUGGCGUACGGGUUCAAGUCCCGUCUUCCGCACCA
Molecule: transfer RNA, 86 nt
Filed under: Ruminococcaceae bacterium OttesenSCG-928-D13
Lineage: Bacteria; Bacillati; Bacillota; Clostridia; Eubacteriales; Oscillospiraceae
Description: tRNA-Leu
Rfam family: tRNA
About the family: Transfer RNA (tRNA) molecules are approximately 80 nucleotides in length. Their secondary structure includes four short double-helical elements and three loops (D, anti-codon, and T loops). Further hydrogen bonds mediate the characteristic L-shaped molecular structure. tRNAs have two regions of fundamental functional importance: the anti-codon, which is responsible for specific mRNA codon recognition, and the 3' end, to which the tRNAs corresponding amino acid is attached (by aminoacyl-tRNA synthetases). tRNAs cope with the degeneracy of the genetic code in two manners: having more than one tRNA (with a specific anti-codon) for a particular amino acid; and 'wobble' base-pairing, i.e. permitting non-standard base-pairing at the 3rd anti-codon position.
Source: RNAcentral